Small nuclear RNA from Suncus etruscus (white-toothed pygmy shrew), 167 nucleotides. RefSeq annotates it as U1 spliceosomal RNA. The record is from RefSeq and is a predicted model, not a curated record. The transcript has a single exon. Lineage: Eukaryota; Metazoa; Chordata; Mammalia; Eulipotyphla; Soricidae.
AUACUUACCUGGCAAGGGAGAUACCAUGUUCACGAAGGUGGUUUCCCCAGGGCAAGGCUCACCCAUUGCACUCCGGGUAUGCUGACCCCUGCGAUUUCCCUAAAUGUGGGCAACUCGACUACGUAAUUUGUGGUAGUGGGGAGAGAGAAAAAAAAAAAGUUUACCUG